GUUUACUCAACUCCAAAGUCACUGAGACAACAAAAGGCACCAACCAGUAUCCCUUAUGAAUAGAAUCUCUCUUUAAAAAAAAAAAAAAAAAAAAAGGCAAAGAAGCAGCAGCAGGGUGGUUAAAUUAGCGUGCUGGAAUCUUUUCAGUUUGUCGCAGAGUAGAAAAAUAAAAAUGGAAAAAAAAAAAAAAGGCUCAGUAAUUUAAAUUUGCUCUCAGUUCAGGCUGCAUCGCUGGGUCCCGCCCCUUUUUCCCGCUGGGCUCCACUACCUGCAAAAGCCUGGAACUGACAGCUACUGUGCAAACAAAAAAAAAAGGCAACAGGCAUGGUGGGACCAUUCUCAUCCUGUCUCCUGUGUGGGUCUCACUUGGCCUGACAACUAGAACUCCUCAGUGCAAGGAUAUUCCUUCAUUUUCCACUGCAAAUGAGGGUGUUGGAGACUACUUUGGUAUUGAAGCUAUCAACAAGCCUGCACGCAGUUGGGACCAUUUACAAGACCAGAAUCACACAUGGUUCCUCUGAAGGGCACGACGAACAUGCAAGAUGUGAGCAGAGGAUGCUGCGAGCCAAAUGGAAAAUAGAGACCGAGAACCCCAACUUAGAAACACACAAAGAACUAGAGCAUUUUACAGAAAUGCCCACUACCUGGCAAAAAUGGCUGUUGGCAUUUUUUGCAGUACAUACUGCCAAGAAGCAAAGUUCCCUUACAAAUCGGUUGGUAAGAGAUUGA
This 729-nucleotide long non-coding RNA is filed under the name Microcebus murinus (gray mouse lemur). Its description in RNAcentral is "lncRNA (ENSMICG00000048599.1)". The record is from RNAcentral. Lineage: Eukaryota; Metazoa; Chordata; Mammalia; Primates; Cheirogaleidae.